GAUGAGAUAAAAAGUGGAACCUCUGGCCACUUAAAUGUAUCUUAGGAAAUAAAAACCUAAAGAAUCCUACCUCAGGCGGGUUUUUCGUAAAAUACUUUUAAGUGAUUAGAGGUUCCAGUUUUCAUCUA
This 128-nucleotide microRNA precursor is filed under the name Brachypodium distachyon (stiff brome). Its description in RNAcentral is "miR9486b stem-loop (bdi-MIR9486b)". It matches the Rfam family "MIR9486 microRNA precursor family". The record is from miRBase by way of RNAcentral. Lineage: Eukaryota; Viridiplantae; Streptophyta; Magnoliopsida; Poales; Poaceae.